This 398-nucleotide ribosomal RNA is filed under the name uncultured bacterium. Its description in RNAcentral is "partial 16S ribosomal RNA". It matches the Rfam family "Bacterial small subunit ribosomal RNA", at positions 523 to 918 of the family's 1533-position model. The record is from RNAcentral.
AUACGUAGGGUGCGAGCGUUGUCCGGAAUUACUGGGCGUAAAGAGCUCGUAGGUGGUUUGUCGCGUCGUCUGUGAAAUUCCGGGGCUUAGCUCCGGGCGUGCAGGCGAUACGGGCAUAACUUGAGUACUGUAGGGGAGACUGGAAUUCCUGGUGUAGCGGUGAAAUGCGCAGAUAUCAGGAGGAACACCGGUGGCGAAGGCGGGUCUCUGGGCAGUAACUGACGCUGAGGAGCGAAAGCAUGGGUAGCGAACAGGAUUAGAUACCCUGGUAGUCCAUGCCGUAAACGGUGGGCGCUAGGUGUAGGGGUCUUCCACGACUUCUGUGCCGUAGCUAACGCAUUAAGCGCCCCGCCUGGGGAGUACGGCCGCAAGGCUAAAACUCAAAGGAAUUGACGGGG